AGGAGGAACAACCCCAGUGGCGGGGCCAGCUCUGCAGCCCUGGAGUCAGCCCCCGCAGUAACUCAGAGCUCUCCGUCUGCAGGGCCUGGAGGCUCCGGGCGGGG
Molecule: microRNA precursor, 104 nt
Filed under: Canis lupus familiaris (dog)
Lineage: Eukaryota; Metazoa; Chordata; Mammalia; Carnivora; Canidae
Description: mir-8834 microRNA precursor family
Rfam family: mir-8834 microRNA precursor family
Source: Rfam by way of RNAcentral